GGAAUUGCCUUAGUACGGCGAGUGAAGCGGCAAUAGCUCAAAUUUGAAAUCUGGCUCUUUCAGAGUCCGAGUUGUAAUUUGUAGAAGAUGCUUCGGCUUACGUAUCGGUCUAAGUUCCUUGGAACAGGACGUCACAGAGGGUGAGAAUCCCGUUUGUGGCCGGUACUUCCGCCAUGUGAAGCUCCUUCGACGAGUCGAGUUGUUUGGGAAUGCAGCUCUAAAUGGGAGGUAAAUUUCUUCUAAAGCUAAAUAUUGGCCAGAGACCGAUAGCGCACAAGUAGAGUGAUCGAAAGAUGAAAAGCACUUUGGAAAGAGAGUUAAAAAGUACGUGAAAUUGUUGAAAGGGAAGCGCUUGCGACCAGACUUGCCUUUAGUUGCUCCGCCGGUCCUUCGACCGGUGUAUUCUUCUAUUGUCAGGCCAGCAUCAGUUUGGGUGGUUGGAUAAAGGCAUUGGGAAUGUGACUCUCUUCGGGGAGUGUUAUAGCCCUUUGUGCAAUACAGCCUACCUAGACUGAGGACCGCGCUUCGGCUAGGAUGCUGGCGUAAUGGUCGUAAGCGGCCCGUCUUGAAACACGGACCAAGGAGUCUAACAUCUAUGCGAGUGUUUGGGUGUCAAACCCGUGCGCGAAAUGAAAGUGAACGGAGGUGGGAACCUUAGGGUGCACCAUCGACCGAUCCUGAUGUCUUCGGAUGGAUUUGAGUAAGAGCAUAGCUGUUGGGACCCGAAAGAUGGUGAACUAUGCCUGAAUAGGGUGAAGCCAGAGGAAACUCUGGUGGAGGCUCGCAGCGGUUCUGACGUGCAAAUCGAUCGUCAAAUU
RNAcentral lists this ribosomal RNA (818 nucleotides) under unidentified. Its description in RNAcentral is "Helicoma rugosum (nom. inval.) partial large subunit ribosomal RNA". It matches the Rfam family "Eukaryotic large subunit ribosomal RNA", at positions 71 to 911 of the family's 3401-position model. The record is from RNAcentral.